GGGCCCAUCUCCCCCCCCCAGCAGCACACUCACCCAGCACUGUCACUGCACAUCUCUAGGGGCCAGGCCCCUUUCUGGUCCAGGAAGCCCCCUCGCCUCCUCCGUGGUGGGUGCCGGGGGGGCUGCCAUCCUGUGUGUGCCUCCUCCCUCCACAGGGGGUGGCUGUGCCACAACCUCAUCCUGCCACGCGUGCCCAUCCCUUUUGUAGCCGGCAGCAGCCAGCGAGGGAGCACAGCGCGGUGUGGCAGGGCAACAGCCUGCUGCCCAGGGCACAGGCAGGGACGCUCCGGGGGGAGGCAGGCGGGGCUGAGGGAGAGACCCAACCCCAAACAUUGGUGGAGCCGGCCCCCAGGCCCUGAAUUUGCUGGAUCAUGGGUACCACGGGCCCAUAUAACUCACCGUCCAUGGGUUUAUUUGACCACCUCUGUGGUUGUUUCUUCUAAUUCACCAGACAUACUGUCAUAGGUCAACCAGAGAAAUCACAGGAUUUACCAGGACAGUGCAACUAACAACUCCAAUACACACAGGUGUGUGUGCACCCCAAGCACAGUUGCUGAAAAUUUUCCCCUCAGCGGUACCUGUCGUUAAGGCACCCAGCCAUCUCCUCACCCCCUCUUUCCAGAAAACUACGAUGUAGAGGGCAGGAGAGUGGAUCACAGAAUAGACACGUGCAACACACCUCGAAGAAUGUUACCAGAUUUGCCCGUUACUUUGGGGUCAUUGAGGCCUGAUAUGAAUGACGCAUGCUUGACAUGAAUACGUGCAUUGAAAGUUGGCAACUGAAGCAAGAACUUAAGGUCAAGGACGAUUGGAACUAUUUGGGCAAAAACAAUCUUAUGUUCCAAGAAAAAUACAGAAAAUCAUCAGAAAAGGAAACAACACCAGCUGGACUGAAAUAAAAUUGUAUAAGAAUUGGAGGAAAUGGCACGCCUUGGAUCAUGGCAGCCUGCCAAGGAUUAUGUCUUCGGAAUUGUGUGGGUAGAAGGACUAGUAAACAAAGGCAAAGAACGGAUGACGCAAUGGAAUGCACUAUAAAUGGUUUCCUAUGAUUUUUACAAAUCGGAAUUGUUUAUUGAUCCAGAGCCCCAUGUGGAUAUAGAUGUGUUUUUUGCCGGCUCUCUGCAUCUUAUGAUCUUAUCCUGAUGGAAGGAACCUCAGCUGACCAUCGGGACCAUUCUGACCUUUGGACUCUGGCAUAGUAUGUUUGGAGUGUGAAUGUGGAGUGAGAAAGGUUUGUUUUGUAAUCAGUAAAGAGCAUUUAGAGUAUUAUAUACCAACACUGCAUCCACUAUCUACUUCCUUCCCAUCCUGUAGGGAGACCUCUACAGCGGGUCUAACACAAGGUCGUCCGCCUAAGAACGCUGCCUUGGCUGCAGAAUGGGCGACUGUAUCCUAGAAAGCAGUGGCUCUGAAAAGGAUUUAGGGGUCACAGUUGAUAGACAUCUGAACAUGAGCCCCCAGUGUGAUCCUGCAGCAAAAAGGGCUAUUGUGAUGUUUGGAUGUAUAAUCAGAGUAAUAAGUAGGACGAGAGCGAUUUUACUCCUGUGUACCACAUUGGUGAGACUGAUACUAUAAUACUGUGUACAGUUCUUGUAAUCACAUUUUACAAAUCAUGUUGAAACACUGGAGAGGGUACAGAGAGGAGCCACAAAAUGAUCACAGGGCUAGACAAAAUACCUCACAGUGAAGGACUUAGAGCUCAAUGUCUUCAGCUUCUCAAAAAGAAGAUUCAGAGGUGCGGUGAUUUGAUUACAAUUUAAACGCCUUUACGGGGAGAAAAUGCUGGGCCCUAGAGGGCUGUUUAAUGUAAUGGAGGAAGAGCCACUGCCAAGGACUGCAAAAUGAAGCAAAACAAAUUUGAAUUAGGAAUAAAUUCCCAAAUUUUAAAGGUGAGGGUGAUUAAUCACUGGAACAAACUUCUGAGGGAAGUGGUGGAUCUCUUUCUCUUGAUGUCUUCAGAUCAAGGCUGGAUGCCUUUCUAGGUGUUCUUUAGGCAAACAUAAGUUAUUGGCAAAAAGAACAAGAGGACUUGUGGCACCUUAGAGACUAACAAAUUUAUUAAUCCAUCAUGCAUCCGAUGAAGUGAGCUGUAGCUCACGAAAGCUUAUGCUCAAAUAAAUGUGUUAGUCUCUAAGGUGCCACAAGUCCUCCUGUUCUUUUUGCAGAUACAGACUAACACGGCUGCUACUCUGAUGUACGUUAUUGGGUAGCUGGGUGAAAUGUAAUAGCCUGUGAUAUACAGGAGAUCAGAUUAGAUUAUCUCAUAUAUAGAUAUAUAACCCUAUGGAACUCAUUUCCACUAGAUAGCAUGGAGACUUGGACCUCAUGGAAUUUUGAAAAAGGAUCAGAUAGAAACAUAGAUAAUGAGAACCUCCAGAGUUACACUAGCUGAACUAAUACAUAAUAUAUAUAUGAGGAAUCUGUUUCAGGGCACAAACCAACAACUGGUUGACUGGAUUAGGCGGAAAUUUUUGCUAGGGACAGAUUUUGCCAUAAUUGUCCACUAUGGGGUUUCCUGCAUGAUCCAACCAAGCGUGUAAUGCUGGCUGCUGUCGGACACAGGACUAGCUGAACAAUUGGUCUGCUCUGAUGUAGCUAUUGGGACUGAACAACAUCAUGGCAGUUGAUGAAAGAAGAAAGAGUUGAUUUUGCAGAUAGGUAAAAGAAAAGGGGCUCAGAUCCCAGACUCCUCCCAGUGAGAGGGAGUGAGCAGGCAGCUGAACAAAAACGGAUCCCCUUAGAAAUUCUUCAGGAACCAGGGAUUUACUCCCACAACCUUCCAGAGAAAAAGCAAUGUGUUCCCUAGUACUAGGAGCCAUGCGGGUGUUUUUGUUGUGAGCUACAAUGUCACAACAGUCCCCAGCACCACCAAAGAAAUUCACAAACUCACUGUUUCAUAAUAAGCACACCCACUUUCACUGGGGCAUUCAUGUUUAAUUAAUAGCACACACAGUAAUAGUGUAAAGUAGUGCUACUUUUGUUAAAUCAAUCUAUUGAGAAAUUUUAAAAAAGGCAUCUCUUCAUUGAUCUGUAACCGCUUCCCCUUAAUGCCUCACACUUCUGGGACACUGUCCUCCAUCCUUAUGAAAUCCAGUCACUUUGAGGCCCCAUUCCCAUUACAGCUAGAAAUGUGAUCUUGUAAGUCGUUUGAGGCAGUUGCUGGUUAAGUUUGUCAUCAGUUAAUGAGACCUCAGAGAACUCAGCUCAAUCACUUUAUUGAUUAGCACUAAAACAGCAUAAUACAGAAAGGUCAGACAUUACCAGUACAGCAAACAGUCUUCCAGUGACUGUAGUUUACAUAUUUCUUGUGUUGAUAAUCAACCAAUAAUUUUUCAAUAAUUAAUAAAUGAAUAGCUAAUAAUGGAUAGGAAUUUUAACUGUGAUAUGUUUAAUGAAUAGCCUUCUCUUAAAUUUAGAUUUGGUUAACAAGUCAGCUUUGAAUGUAUUUAUUAAACAGUCAAGACAGCACAUACAGAGAGGCAUACAAUUAUCCACAGCUGUGGAAGGCCUUCUCUAUAGCUUCAGAUAGUCCGGAUCCUGUCUGCCAAUGGUCUUACUUCCUUAUGAUUUCUUGUGGUAGUUUUACCCUGGUAACUUUUCUUUUCAACUGCCUAAAUGGACCAUCUUGAUUAUCACUACAAAAGGUUUUUUCUCCUGCUGAUAUAUCUCUUCUUACUAUAUGUUCCAUUCUAUGCAUCUGAUGAAGUGGCCUGUAGCCCACAAAAGCUUAUGCUCAAAUAAAUUUGUUAGUCUCUAAGGUGCCACAAGUACUCCUGUUCUUUUUGCGAAUACAGACUAACACGGCUGCUACUUAGAAACUUUUCUUAGUUCAACAUUCCAACCCUUAUUUAUUGCCUCCUUCUGGUGUAUAGUUCUCCAUAUCUUAGGCGUUGUCUACACUACGGGGGUAUCAAUGUAUGGUCAAGGUGUGAUCGAUCCUCCGGGGAUCGAUUUAGUGGGGUCUAGUGAAAACCCGCUAAAUUGACGGCCAAUUGCUUUCUCGUUGACUCUGGUACUUCACUGGUACAAGAAGGUAUAAGGUAAGUAGAUGGGAGAGUUUCUCCCAUUUACCCCAGCACGGUGUAGACACCACAAUAAGUUCACUGAAGGCACGUCGACUCCAGCUACAUUAUUCACAUAGCUGGAGUUGCAUAACUUAGGUCAACUUAGUCCCGUAGUGUAGAUCUGCCCUUAAGGCUCUUUCCUCAGUUCCCGCUUCCUUGUAAUUUUCCAAGUGUUUCAACACCAAGUAGUUAAUCAUUGUUUAUGGCUUUUUUUGGACAUUUUUAUUCGUUACAUAUCUUGCAAAUAUGUUGCAGUUAGUACAUUGCAAAAAUAUCUUAUAUAAAAUAUGUCAUAAAAUAUGUCAUCAGUUACUGUAUUGUAAAAUUCCAUUCCUUGCUCGAUAGCUUUAUGUUAAUUGCAAAACAUCAUGGGAAUCUUGUCCCAAAGCAAGCCGUAAAAAUCUUUUCUGACCUAUCUUUAAGUAUCAACAUCUGUGUCUGUUCCAAUUUGUUUAUACCGUCACAUAUACCCCAGUUGUUUACAACCUAGUUACUUCCUUGUUUUGUUCAUACCACUUGCAUGUCCCUUACACAGCAAAACAUUUAGGACUUGCAAUUAAUGGUUAAAACAUCAAUCUCAGUACCUCUCCAUUACUUGUUUCACCAGCAAGCAUAGCAAUCUGUCACACGUAUCCUUUAUACAUUUUGUAUAGCUGCAAAGCCUUAGGGACCUUUAGUUCAUAAGCUAACAAAUCACACUCAGGCUUAACCAGCUGUAAGUUAAAUGGGGCAUUUUCUGUUUUCCAGUUCAUACGCAGCACUCUGCCCAAUUGUGUUUUUAGGAGUAAAUUGUGAAACGUUUUGGGCAGCAAUUCUAUGCAGGAUGAGCAGCAGGUCCCUGUACCAAAGAUUAUGGGUAUUUUUUCAGACAGCAUCAGUGGACUCUGGGAUGCACAGCUCGGGGAGGAAGUAGGACUUGCAUUACCAGUUACACUGGCACAAUUAAGGGUACCUGCCACACAGGAAAAAUCAGUGUGCCUAACCCCUUACAAAAACCAUGGAAUAGACUGAUGCUGGGGAUGGAAGAUCCAGGUGAAGAUGCACUCGUAACACCCCAUGUUGACACACUUAUUCACAGGAAGUUAUGCCACUAUAACCAUACUGGCAAAAUUAUACCAGUAAAACUUCCGGAGUAGAUAAACCCUGAGACAUGUUUAAAAAACACAGUUGCCUCAGUCCAAAUACAGAGGUAAAAUAACCUCUCUGUUCCUAUUCGAGAUUCCCCUGUUUAUGCAUCUUGGGAUUGCAUGAGCUCUUUUGGAGACAGCAUUGUACUGGGAGCUCAUAUUCAGCUGAUUAUCCAUCACAUCCCAAAUCUUUUUCAGAGUCCCAUGUUUCCAGGAUCAAAUCCCCCAUCCUUUAAGUAUGGCCUACGUUCUUCAUUCAUACAUGUAUAUAUUUACAUUUAGCCACAUUAAAAUGCAUAUAGUUUUCUUUUGCCCAGUUUGCAAAGUGAUCCAGUUUACUGUGAAUCAGUGACCUGUCCUCUUCAUUAUUUACCACUCCUCCAAUUUAUGUGUCAUUGAUAAAAAUGUUUCAAAGCAGAGGAUCAAGAACCGAUCUCUGCAGGACCCCACUAGAAACGCACCCGGUCAAUGAGGAUUUCCUGUUUACAGUAACGUUUUGACACAUCUCAGUUCGCCAGGUUUUAAUCCAUUUAUAGAGUGCUAUGUUAAAAUACCCGUGUCUUCACAAUGUGCGGAGGAUGCCAUUUUGUUCUGUAGUGUGUUCAAGGGCUCGAUGAAAUCGUCCCACUGGCACAGCCAGUCAGGAAGUCAUAUUCAGGGCUCACAUGGCAAUGCAUCCAUAGAUGGCAUGCCGCUGCUCAACUUGCAAAAUUCAAUUUCACUCCCCUGAAAUUCCCACUAACCAUCCCCAAAACCCAUUGAAAGAUCAGUUCCUCUCUUCACCAGCUUUGUCCCCCUCCCACAUCUUACUCCCAUAAUCAUAAACAAGGAAAUACUACUAACCCACCCUCCUUAAACCUUGUAUUUUAGAAUAAAUACAAAAGGAGAAAUGUCUCACCAGAAUCAAAAAAGUACCAUUCCAUUAUUUUCUAUUACAAUUGUAGAUCUAUUUAAUCUGAAGCUACAUUUGCUGUAUGGUAUCAGAGGAGUAGCCGUGUUAGUCUGGAUCUGUAAAAGCGGCAAAGAGUCCUGUGGCACCUUAUAGACUAACAGAAGUAUUGGAGCAUAAGCUUUCAUCUGUUAGUCUAUAAGGUACCACAGGACUCUUUGCCGCAUUUGCGGUAUGGGGUUUCUUUUUCAAGUGGAGUUUUGCCAAGUGUUUAACAAGAUUUGAUCGGUCAUUGAAGCUUUUCCCACAUUCAGUACAUUUGUGAGGUCUCUCUCCCCGAUGCACUGACUGAUGCGUGGUAAGGUGGGACUUCUGAAGAAAGAUUUUCCCACAUUCAGUACAUUUGUGAGGCCUCUCUCCCUGGUGUAUUAACUGAUGCUGGGAAAGGGCGAACUUCUGACGAAAGCUUUUCUCACACUGCAUGCAUUUAUAGGGCCGCUCCCCGGUGUGGAUCCUCAUGUGUUUAGUCAGGGUUGAUUUCCGCCCAAAGCUUUGCCCGCAUUCGGUGCAUUUAUAAGGUUUAUCCCCUGUGUGGGUUCUACAGUGACUGGUAAAGUGUCCUCGUAGCCUGAAGCUUUUGUCACAGUCAGGACACUGAUAGGGUCUUUCUUCCCUGUGGAUUCUCUGAUGCAUAGUAAGGUAUGAGUACUCACUGAAGUUUUUCCCACAGUCAGUGCAGCUAUAGUUUUUCUCCUCUUUGUGAGUCCUUUCAUGUCUGCUGAGUAUUGACCUGUACACAAAGCUCUUUCCACAGUCAGCACAUACAUAGGGUCUCUCUCCUGUAUGGUUUUUCUGAUGCCUUCGAAGGUGAGCAUGCUGGUGAUAGCUUUUCCCACAUUCAGCACAGCUGUAACGUUUCUCUUCCAGGUGGAUUUUCUGACGCACCAAGAGGGCUGAGUUGCUACUGAAGCUUUUCUCAUUGUCACCAUUUGUGUUUGUUUGUGCUCCAGUAUGGAUCUCUUGGUGCGUGAUGGUGCUUUUCAAUUUCUUGUAAUCUCUUUCACAUUGAUUAGAUAUAUUGCCUCUUUUGCCUGCAGGGUGUCUCUGCUGCCUUCGUGCCAUGCCCUGACUUCCACAGCCUUCUCCCUGCUCAGGACCUCGGGGUCUCCCCAAGAAUGUCCUCUGUGGUUCUGCUCCGGGAGGCCCUUCCCGCUGGAGAUUCUUAGCUUCAUCUUCACUCAUGAUCCCAUCAUUAAACCCUCUAGGUUCCUCUUCUUUGUGGAUUCUCUGAUGCUGAAUAAGUCUCUCUCUCAGGACAAAUUGUUGGCCACAGUAUGGACACUUAUAGGGUCUCUCCACCUUGUGGACUAUGUAACGAUGAUAUACCAGGAUUGUCUUCUCUCUGAAUCUUUUCCCACACUGAGUACAUUUAUAAGGUUGUUCCAUUCUGUGACUCAUGGAGUGAUCUUUGAGCACUGAACUCCGACUGAAGCUUUUCCCACAUUCUUUACAUUUAUAAGGUCUCUCUCCUUUGUGAGUUCUCAGAUGUAUCUGAAGGUAUUUUUCUUGAGUGAAACUUUUCCUACACUCACUACACUUGUAAGCACUCUUUUCUGCACCAGUUUGAUGAUGCUUAAUAAGGAGAGAGCAGUUAUUGAAACUUUCCCCAAGUUCAGUGCCUGUAUUUGGUCUCUUCCUCAUGAAGUCUCUAUGCUGUGUGCUGGUGUCUUUGGAUUUCCUUAAGCCUGUUUUGCUGCAAGUGGAUUUACUUUGUCUCCAAUCUGGAGGAUCUCCGUGCUGCUGUCUCACCUUGCCCCUACUCUCACGGGCAUCUCCCCACUUAGGGUACUGGGGUCUCCAUGACAACAUCAUGUCUGGCUUUGCUCUCCCAGACCCCUUCUUCUGGGGAUUCUUGUCCCCGUUCUCACUCACGAUUACAUCGUUGAACCCUCUAGAUGCCUUUUUGUUGUGGAUUCUCUGAUGCUGAAUAAAUCUCUCUCUCAGGAUAAAGAGCUGGCUGCAGUCUGGACAUUUAUGGGGUCUCUCCAACUUGUGAACUGUGUAACGGUGAAGAACAAGGCUUGUCUUGUGUCUGAAGCUUUUCUUGCAUUUGUUACAUUUAUAGGGUCUCUCCCCUCUGUGAAUUUUCAGAUGUAUCUGAAGGUAUUCUUCUCGAGUGAAGCUUUUGUCACAUUCACUACACCUAAUGGCACUCUUUUCUACACUAGUCUCCUGACAAUGUUGAAAAAGGAGCGAACUGUUACUGACUCUUUCUCCCAGUUCAUUGAUGGUAUUUGGGGUCAACCCAAUAUGGGUUACCAGGUGGGCGUUGGUGUCUGUGGAUUUCCUCAAACCUCUUUUGCUCUGAGUAGAUUUACUUCUGCCUGGAGAGUCUCCUCUCUGCCGCCCCACUCUGUCCUGACUCUUGCUGGCAUCUGCCCCACCAGGGCCCUGCGGCCUUCCUGAGAACAUCCUGUGCAACUUCACUCCCACAGCCCCUUCCUGCUGGGGACUCUCCUCCUUAUUUUCACUUGCCGUCCCGGUACCUGCUGGGAGAGAGAAUCCAGAUGGGAUUCACUCCAUGCAUUGGAGACAGAGGGGGCGGCAAAGGGAUUAUCAUUGAUAACAGAACCUAAUAGGCAGGAAGUAUAUUCCACCAAGUGGCAGAGGAGGGGCAAGUUCUGCCUCAAAUUCCCUCUGAGCCCUAAGAAAAAGGCUGAGGGAGGAAAAGGCUUCUGCCAGGGGUCAGGCAGAAAGAUGGGAGCCAGGAGGACAGGGCACAACAGUGAGUCAGAUGAGAUGGGACAGAACAGGGGGAGGACUCAGUGGGUUUGCUGGGAUCCCAGCUUUUCCCAGUCCCAGAUAGUUUCCCAGUUGGUGUCACUCAUUCCUCACCUGUUGUAGUGCCUCUUGGGAUUUCCCUUUCCUCAGAUUCCUGGAUAUCUGGGAUCCACAACUCUUCCCCUCGCUCCAUCUGGGACAGCACAUCUGGUUUAGUGAUCGUAAAUCCUGCUCAUUGGAAAGAGGUACAUGCAUCACAACGUCUUAAGUAUUCGUCGAUCACUUAACUACAAAGAACAUUCCAAGAUUUUCUUUGCUGAAGGGGAAAGACAUAAUCCAUAUAGUUUAUAAAAGAUUUGUGUAUCACAUUUUAGCAAGCAGGCUGUAUGGUGGCAAAUGGGCUGUGUUGCUUAUAAAAGAUUUAGGCCAUGUCUACACUACGGGAACGAUAGCAACUCCUCACCUAACGAGAUGAGAGUCUUGUAAUUCUCCUGCAUGACAUCUCUGUAGAGUUCCUUCUGCUUUUCAUCUAAAAGAGCCCAUUCAUCUUCAGAGAAGUACACAGCCACCUCCUCAAACAUCACUGGCAUCUGAAAUGACAUGGGUCUUCCACUCAGCACCUGCCUGGUCUGGCCACAAUCCCACCAUUCAGGCACAAGCUGAGCAGCAAAGGGCAGAGCCAUCACCAUCAAUGCAGCAUUGGAGGAGGGGAAGGAAUCCCAUUUCUCACUAUCCCAUCCUCUUCCACACAGCAAGAGAUGCCAGACUCAGCCUACCCAUCCCCACAGAGCUCUUAGUCCCAAUCCAGGCCACUCAAGCAAGUAACUGGAGCCACAAGGGAGCCCCACUCAGCACAUGCUGUUCCCGCGAAAGUCUCACCACUCAGUCGUGGGAUGUACUGCCAGGAGCUAAUCCUGACUAACUGGAGGGCAUGAAGUGAGUUAUCCAGGAUGUUGGAAAAGCUCCACAUGCACAAGGCACCCCCCAAAGAAAAGGAUGUGAUUAUUUUAUUGAUGGGGAAGAAAAAGUUGGAAAGACCACUGAGUGAUGGAGGAGCCAGGAGGAGGUGGGAGCAAUGAGUGAGGACAGACAAGCAUGGCCCAGCAGGAGAAACAGCGCGGACCGUUUCACAACUCACCAUAAAGUCGAACCUAUGGAGCGAGGCCACCAUAUCCUGGUCUCCUUCAUUCCCCUUAUUGUAAGGAACAAUCAAAUAGGUCGCAGGAAGAUCUAAAGGAUGACAAAGAUACCGUUAGAGCAGUGGUUCUUAACCUUUACUAUAGCUUGCACCCCUUUGGUUCUCAAAAUAUGUUCUCGCACCCCUUAUCAAAAAUCGUUGAAGUAGGUCAGUUCUUUAAACCUAGAUAUAUCAUAACUAUAGAAUGAAAGAGAGAAUUAUAUAUUUAUUUUAAUUUCGCAGUAAUUUUGUUGUUCCAUUUGCGUUUCUUUGACAUGGCAAGGGUUACUGAAAUGAAAAAAUAUUUAUAAAGAUAGGGGGACCUAUGCACUUUUAAAUGCAUAUUAAAUAUAUGUAAAAUAGUUUUAUGUUAUUACUCACCACAAAUAAUAGUACAGUAGGCACA
Molecule: long non-coding RNA, 10444 nt
Organism: Dermochelys coriacea (leatherback sea turtle)
Lineage: Eukaryota; Metazoa; Chordata; Testudines; Dermochelyidae
Exons: 4
Source: RefSeq, a predicted model, not a curated record